GGUGAGCAGCUGAUGUCAAUGGAUGCGUGCCGCAUGGGAAAAGUGCGGCAUCCGGAGGGAGGAGGCGGCCGAAACUGGCGACGCGACGGACCGACGAGGAUAGCCGGAAAUAGUAAGGCGGCCGGAUGUAACUGGGUCCGACGGAGGGUCGUGAGGUGAGAGGGUAACGCGACAGAAUAACGAACGAGUGUGUAUGGUUGUCGACAUUUCAGAGCGAAAAGAGGGUUCCGACAGACGGGCGGCCGAUCGGCGCGUCGUGGCGCGGCGAAUUUUGCUUCGGCACGCCGCGUAGUGGCACUGACAUAGGAUUUGCAUUUUCGGACGCGAUAGCGUCAGCAUAAAAGGAAGGAAUUGCAGCGAUAGUCCAGUAUACUUGUUGGACGAAACAAGAUGAGCGACGAAAUAGUUGAAGUAUCGUCUUCAGACGAAUCCAUGCAUGUGAGUAGCCGUUUCGGUCGUGAUGCCGAUCACUUUACUUUGCAAACAGUUUCGGACGUAUCAGAGUAAGACUCGUAACACUUUGAAAAACUGUUUUCGUUCUCUUACAGGAAAACCUAUCCCAACCUGAGGCAGUCGACAGAAUUUUUGAAAUACUGCAUCGAGCUGGAGUAAUGGACGCCUUCGAGGCCGCUUUACAAGAACUUAUUUCGGGCAAUGACGAGACCGCCGACCCAAUCACUGCUAUGAUACAGAGCCUGGGGGCUAUGAGCCCGAGUACGUGGAGGUGCUGCGGACAGAGCUGAAAUACGAACGGGAACGCAAUAGGUCCCUCCAGGCCAGACUGGACGAGUUCGAAAAAUCCACAAAACGAAAAACCUUUGAGCAGUCGUCAACAUCAAAAGAAGUCAUUAUCGAAAUAUCUUCCGACGACUCGGACGUAAUGGAAGAGUCGAAUAAUAACAGUAAAAAUAGAAAGGCAGAGGAGAGAGAAGGGCCGGCACAAAGAAAACGUCGACGAACCAUGCCGUAAAAGUUUAAAAUAAACUUAAUGAAGUAAGCUCAUGUGUCCUUAACAAAGUUUUUAAAUAUAAUAAUACGGUUAAAACAAAUAAAUUUAACACCUGGUUCAUAAACGUAAUGAAAUGAAAUUAACCUGAGCGACCAUUCAAUAAUAAAAUUCAUAUACUUAGCAUUAAAAACUGCCACCUAAACAUUAGCUUUAAAUUUUAUUACAGUAGAACCUCGAAAACU
Centruroides sculpturatus (bark scorpion) is the source of this 1191-nucleotide long non-coding RNA. RefSeq lists it as uncharacterized. Lineage: Eukaryota; Metazoa; Arthropoda; Arachnida; Scorpiones; Buthidae. The record is from RefSeq and is a predicted model, not a curated record. The transcript is spliced from 5 exons.